RNAcentral lists this non-coding RNA (30 nucleotides) under Mus musculus (house mouse). The record is from RNAcentral. Lineage: Eukaryota; Metazoa; Chordata; Mammalia; Rodentia; Muridae.
UGAGUGCUGAGAUUGCACGUGCACAUCUGC